AUAGUUAGAAUUUUAUGUAAUUGCUGCAUACCAAUGAAACUGAAGGCAGAAACUGAAGGUAUAGGGCCUCUGUAAGACCAGGUUUGAUAUUGGGGCGGAAUGAUGGACAGACGAAAAACUAUAUAUAGAAUGAGUGUAGCAGAGAUGAGGAUAUUGAGAUGAAUGAGUAACAAGACAAGAGGGGACAAAAUUCAAAUGAAUCUAUUUGAAAAAAUUUAGGUGUGGCACCAAUAGGCGAUAAGGUGAAAGAGAGUAGAUUUAAGUAGGCUGAUCAUGUGUGGUGCAGGCCUAGCACAACACAUGUUAGGAUGUGUGAGUUAGUUCAAGUAGAAGACUCGAAAAUGGCAAGGGGUAAGCCCAAAAAGACGUGGUUAGAAGUAGUCCAAAAAGAUAUAAGGACUUAUGAACUCACUGUGACUUUAAUAGAACAGAAUGACGAAUAAGGAUUUGUGUAGC
Molecule: long non-coding RNA, 456 nt
Filed under: Amborella trichopoda
Lineage: Eukaryota; Viridiplantae; Streptophyta; Magnoliopsida; Amborellales; Amborellaceae
Description: long non-coding RNA (ATRI_LNC001452)
Source: RNAcentral